GGGGAAGAGUGGCGAACGGGUGAGUAACACGUGGGCAAUCUGCCCUGCACUCUGGGAUAACUCCGGGAAACCGGAGCUAAUACCGGAUACGACUCUCCAGGGCAUCCUGGGGGGUGGAAAGCUCCGGCGGUGCAGGAUGAGCCCGCGGCCUAUCAGCUGGUUGGUGGGGUAACGGCCCACCAAGGCGACGACGGGUAGCCGGCCUGAGAGGGCGACCGGCCACACUGGGACUGAGACACGGCCCAGACUCCUACGGGAGGCAGCAGUGGGGAAUAUUGCACAAUGGGCGCAAGCCUGAUGCAGCGACGCCGCGUGAGGGAUGACGGCCUUCGGGUUGUAAACCUCUUUCAGCAGGGAAGAAGCGCGAGUGACGGUACCUGCAGAAGAAGCACCGGCUAACUACGUGCCAGCAGCCGCGGUAAUACGUAGGGUGCGAGCGUUGUCCGGAAUUAUUGGGCGUAAAGAGCUCGUAGGCGGCCUGUCGCGUCGGAUGUGAAAGCCCGGGGCUUAACCCCGGGUCUGCAUUCGAUACGGGCAGGCUAGAGUUCGGUAGGGGAGA
RNAcentral lists this ribosomal RNA (559 nucleotides) under Streptomyces radiopugnans. RNAcentral describes it as "bacterial SSU rRNA". It matches the Rfam family "Bacterial small subunit ribosomal RNA", at positions 87 to 660 of the family's 1533-position model. Lineage: Bacteria; Bacillati; Actinomycetota; Actinomycetes; Kitasatosporales; Streptomycetaceae. The record is from RNAcentral.